UGCUACUUCGACACUUCCAUCCCUUUGCCGGAGGCGGCCAUGUGUGCGCCAUCGACGCUGUACCGUUACGAAAAACCGCGAUCUGCCUCUCCCUCAUGAUGCCGGUCACCUCGUUGUGGUGCCGGGAUGCACUAUCCACUCCGUGGAGACACGAAGAUGCGACACCCGGCACUUGCGAAGGGUGGCGCAGCGUUGGUGUUGGCGGACACGUUGGGGCUGUCGCUUUGCCGAACAAGUGCGGAUGCAGAGGGGUGUGGCGCGCCCUUGCCGCCACAGCUUCAUGCCAAUGCCCUGCCUGUCGCGGCACACGCGGGCAAGCGAUGCAGACCUCCCCCUUUUCGGUGAUGUCGGCGGGAAAGGAAGCCGAGGGCAGCGGUCUCUCCAGACAAGAAGGUUGCCCUGCAGCAGGCCCGCGUAUGGGGAAACGCGAGCGCUGUGUGCACGUGCUGCCCGCCGCAGCGGGCAUGGUGUAUCACAUCCAGGCACGGCAUCCAGGGGCGAGAAUAGCGUGGGCGAUAGGCGAAAAAGGCGCGCAGGGGAUGCACACGGAUCAGCGCCGCAGUGCAUGUGUGCGACGCAUGCGCCAUCUCGUACGCCCGACCGGGUGGGCUGGUGCGGCGGUGGCGGCGGAAGCAUGGCGAGGGCGCCCCGAGCCACGCCAUGGAGUCAUCGGGAGUCCACUGUGGAGGGUCUCCACCCGGCCUUGUGCCGGGGCUUGAAGCGAGUCAGGGAGAAGCACGGCAGACAUGCUGGCAGAGUGCAGGGUCUCCGAGGGCCCUGGCCUGCGGCCGGCCGACUUCCUCCCUGAGCUCAUCCGGCAUGACCCUAGACCACCCCCUGUUACCCGCACGCCGCACACCACCGGCUCCGCCCUCGAGCAGGACGCUGGGUGCGGCUCGCCUUGAUCAUGGCUGUGCCGUCCAGGCAGGUGGGCCUGGAGCCGCUCGCACGGGGAGUAUGGAGCGGAGGAAGGACACGAGGCGCCCGCUAGACGCACGCCCGGAUGCGACGGCAGAGGCCCCGCCCUAGACGGCGAGGAUUUCGCUGUGGUGCAGCAGAGGCCGGCGAGCUGUGCCUGCAUGCGCGUAUUCGUUGACUUGUUCCGGGUGUGGAAUGGACACGCUGAAAAAGCAAAAGCCUCCUGUUGUUUUUUUUUUUGUUAUGUCUGUGCGCUUUUUCCUUUUCAUGUAUUCGAGUCGCGCCUGCGCGAAUCGCGACCCCAACUCCUGUCUUUAUUCGACCACGUCUUUGCACCGAUGCAUCAUUGAUCCCUUAGCGGCUCCAUUCG
This 1288-nucleotide unclassified non-coding RNA is filed under the name Leishmania donovani. RNAcentral describes it as "gene:unknown". Lineage: Eukaryota; Euglenozoa; Kinetoplastea; Trypanosomatida; Trypanosomatidae. The record is from RNAcentral.